RNAcentral lists this ribosomal RNA (497 nucleotides) under uncultured bacterium. RNAcentral's name for it is "partial 16S ribosomal RNA". It matches the Rfam family "Bacterial small subunit ribosomal RNA", at positions 28 to 507 of the family's 1533-position model. The record is from RNAcentral.
GAUGAACGCUGGCGGCGUGCCUAACACAUGCAAGUCGAGCGAACAGACGAGGAGCUUGCUCCUUUGUCGUUUGCGGCGCACGGGUGUGUCACAUGUGGAUAACCUACUUAUAUUACUGGGAUAACUUCGGGAAAUCGUAGCCUAUACCGUAUAAUCUAUUGCACCGCAUGGUUUAAUUGUUACAGUCGGUUUUGCUGUCUCUUAUAGCUGGAUCCCCGCCCCUUUAGCUAGUUGGUGAGUUAACGGCUUAUCAAGGCGCCUAUGCGUAGCUCACCUGAUAGGAUGCUCGCCCACACUAGAAGUGAGACACGGUCCAGACUCCUAAGGGAUGCAGCAGUCGCGAAUCGUCCGCAGUAGUCGGAAGCAUGACGGAGCGGCGCCGCGUGAGUGAUGAGGGUCUUCGGUGCGUAAAACUCUGUUAUUAGGGAAGAACAACUGUGUAAGCAAACAAGCCCGUCUUGACGGUACUGAAUCAAAAAGCCCCGGCUAACUACGUG